RNAcentral lists this ribosomal RNA (748 nucleotides) under uncultured bacterium. RNAcentral's name for it is "bacterial SSU rRNA". It matches the Rfam family "Bacterial small subunit ribosomal RNA", at positions 8 to 796 of the family's 1533-position model. The record is from RNAcentral.
AGAGUUUGAUCCUGGCUCAGAGCGAACGCUGGCGGCAGGCUUAACACAUGCAAGUCGAGCGGGCGUAGCAAUACGUCAGCGGCAGACGGGUGAGUAACGCGUGGGAACGUACCUUUUGGUUCGGAACAACACAGGGAAACUUGUGCUAAUACCGGAUAAGCCCUUACGGGGAAAGAUUUAUCGCCGAAAGAUCGGCCCGCGUCUGAUUAGCUAGUUGGUGAGGUAAUGGCUCACCAAGGCGACGAUCAGUAGCUGGUCUGAGAGGAUGAUCAGCCACAUUGGGACUGAGACACGGCCCAAACUCCUACGGGAGGCAGCAGUGGGGAAUAUUGGACAAUGGGCGCAAGCCUGAUCCAGCCAUGCCGCGUGAGUGAUGAAGGCCCUAGGGUUGUAAAGCUCUUUUGUGCGGGAAGAUAAUGACGGUACCGCAAGAAUAAGCCCCGGCUAACUUCGUGCCAGCAGCCGCGGUAAUACGAAGGGGGCUAGCGUUGCUCGGAAUCACUGGGCGUAAAGGGUGCGUAGGCGGGUCUUUAAGUCAGGGGUGAAAUCCUGGAGCUCAACUCCAGAACUGCCUUUGAUACUGAAGAUCUUGAGUUCGGGAGAGGUGAGUGGAACUGCGAGUGUAGAGGUGAAAUUUCGUAGAUAUUUCGCAAAGAACACCAGUGGCGAAGGCGGCUCACUGGCCCGAUACUGACGCUGAGGCACGAAAGCGUGGGGGAGCAAACAGGAUUAGAUACCCUCGUAGUCC